UACGUAGGGUGCAAGCGUUGUCCGGAUUUACGGGGUUUAAAGGGUACGCAGGCGUGCUAUUAAGUCAGGGGUUAAAGCACACGGCUGAACCGUGGGAAUGCCAUUGAUACUGAUAGUCUUGAGUACAGAUGAGGUGGGCGGAAUUCAUGGUGUAGAGGUGAAAUGCAUAGAUCCCAUGAGGAGCACCAAUUGCGAAGGCAGCUCACUGGACUGUAACUGACGCUGAGGUACGAAAGCGUGGGUAGCGAACAGG
This 253-nucleotide unclassified non-coding RNA is filed under the name uncultured Cytophagales bacterium. RNAcentral describes it as "contains 16S-23S intergenic spacer region". It matches the Rfam family "Bacterial small subunit ribosomal RNA", at positions 524 to 776 of the family's 1533-position model. Lineage: Bacteria; Pseudomonadati; Bacteroidota; Sphingobacteriia; Sphingobacteriales. The record is from RNAcentral.